GUGCGAAAAUGAAGCAAAGUCGGCUUGCUCAGCCAUGACGCUGGCUCAGGAAAUGUUUGUGCAAGUCAGUGACUGAGGUUGUUUUAUCACUGAGGCUAUCAGAUUGUUUCCUCAUGGAGGGCAUUUUGCAGGUGGUGGAAGGGAGAAACGAGAAGCAUAAAGGUGGAAACUGCUGAAGCACACGCUCUGUUUCAUGAUGAGGAGAGACAGCCAACACUCGGCUCACUGACCUCUGUGGUUGAACCUGUUCCAACUUGGAGAUGUAAGAGCCCCUCUUCAAGUGUAAAGAAACCCCAUUUGCCCCCGUGACUGAAAUUUUAAGUACCUCUCAGGUCUGGUUUCAAGUCUGGCAAUAAAACAAAAAUCUUUCUCACCAUUUCA
This is a long non-coding RNA of Lynx canadensis (Canada lynx), 381 nucleotides long. RefSeq lists it as uncharacterized. The transcript has 2 exons. The record is from RefSeq and is a predicted model, not a curated record. NCBI's taxonomy places the organism in Eukaryota, Metazoa, Chordata, Mammalia, Carnivora, Felidae.